RNAcentral lists this ribosomal RNA (339 nucleotides) under Candidatus Scatomorpha intestinipullorum. RNAcentral describes it as "bacterial SSU rRNA". It matches the Rfam family "Bacterial small subunit ribosomal RNA", at positions 1 to 352 of the family's 1533-position model. The record is from RNAcentral. Lineage: Bacteria; Bacillati; Bacillota; Clostridia; Eubacteriales.
UUUAUGGAGAGUUUGAUCCUGGCUCAGAGUGAACGCUGGCGGCGUGCCUAAUACAUGCAAGUCGAACGAUGAAGCUUUUAGCUUGCUAGAAGUGGAUUAGUGGCGCACGGGUGAGUAAUGCAUAGGUUAUGUGCCCUUUAGUCUGGGAUAGCCACUGGAAACGGUGAUUAAUACUAGAUACUCCCUACGGGGGAAAGUUUUUCGCUAAAGGAUCAGCCUAUGUCCUAUCAGCUUGUUGGUGAGGUAAUGGCUCACCAAGGCUAUGACGGGUAUCCGGCCUGAGAGGGUGAUCGGACACACUGGAACUGAGACACGGUCCAGACUCCUACGGGAGGCAGC